This 523-nucleotide ribosomal RNA is filed under the name uncultured Glomeromycotina. RNAcentral's name for it is "SSU rRNA". It matches the Rfam family "Eukaryotic small subunit ribosomal RNA", at positions 570 to 1094 of the family's 1831-position model. The record is from RNAcentral. Lineage: Eukaryota; Fungi; Glomeromycota.
GCAGCCGCGGUAAUUCCAGCUCCAAUAGCGUAUAUUAAAGUUGUUGCAGUUAAAAAGCUCGUAGUUGAACUUCGGGACCUGUGGGUCGGUCGUGCCUCCGGUACGUACUGGCUCUACCGGUUCCUCCCUUCUGAAGAACCACGAUGUCAUUAAUUUGGUGUCGUGGGGAAUCAGGACUGUUACUUUGAAAAAAUUAGAGUGUUUAAAGCAGGCUAAAGCUUGAAUAGAUUAGCAUGGAAUAACGAAAUAGGACGUUUGAUCUUAUUUUGUUGGUUUCUAAGAUCGACGUAAUGAUUAAUAGGGAUAGUUGGGGGCAUUAGUAUUCAAUUGUCAGAGGUGAAAUUCUUGGAUUUAUUGAAGACUAACUACUGCGAAAGCAUUUGCCAAGGAUGUUUUCAUUAAUCAAGAACGAAAGUUAGGGGAUCGAAGACGAUCAGAUACCGUCGUAGUCUUAACCAUAAACUAUGCCGACUAGGGAUCGGAUGAUGUUAAUUUUUUAAUGACUCAUUCGGCACCUUACGGG